GACCGGGUCCUGUGCAACAGUGAACUGUGAACCGAGUCAGGGCCGGAAGGCAGCAGCUCUCAGCAGACUCCUCUGUGUGCCGCAGAUAACCUGGUCGCC
Molecule: signal recognition particle RNA, 99 nt
Filed under: Acidimicrobiales bacterium
Lineage: Bacteria; Bacillati; Actinomycetota; Acidimicrobiia; Acidimicrobiales
Also listed under: 1 other name
Description: signal recognition particle sRNA small type
Rfam family: Bacterial small signal recognition particle RNA
About the family: The signal recognition particle (SRP) is a universally conserved ribonucleoprotein involved in the co-translational targeting of proteins to membranes. Archaeal SRP consists of a 7S RNA and homologues of the eukaryotic SRP19 and SRP54 proteins. In most bacteria, the SRP consists of a 4.5S RNA and the Ffh protein (a homologue of the eukaryotic SRP54 protein).
Source: RNAcentral